RNAcentral lists this ribosomal RNA (368 nucleotides) under uncultured organism. RNAcentral's name for it is "bacterial SSU rRNA". It matches the Rfam family "Bacterial small subunit ribosomal RNA", at positions 526 to 896 of the family's 1533-position model. The record is from RNAcentral.
CGGAGGGUGCAAGCGUUAUCCGGAUUCACUGGGUUUAAAGGGUGCGUAGGAGGGUAGGUAAGUCAGUGGUGAAAUCUUCGAGCUUAACUCGGAAACUGCCGUUGAUACUAUCUAUCUUGAAUACCGUGGAGGUGAGCGGAAUAUGUCAUGUAGCGGUGAAAUGCUUAGAUAUGACAUAGAACACCAAUUGCGAAGGCAGCUCGCUACACGAAUAUUGACUCUGAGGCACGAAAGCGUGGGGAUCAAACAGGAUUAGAUACCCUGGUAGUCCACGCCCUAAACGAUGGAUACUCGACAUACGCGAUACACAGUGUGUGUCUGAGCGAAAGCAUUAAGUAUCCCACCUGGGAAGUACGACCGCAAGGUUG